GACGAACGCUGGCGGCGUGCUUAACACAUGCAAGUCGAACGGAAAGGCCCUGCUUUUGUGGGGUGCUCGAGUGGCGAACGGGUGAGUAACACGUGAGUAACCUGCCCUUGACUUUGGGAUAACUUCAGGAAACUGGGGCUAAUACCGGAUAGGAGCUCCUGCUGCAUGGGGGGGGUUGGAAAGUUUCGGCGGUUGGGGAUGGACUCGCGGCUUAUCAGCUUGUUGGUGGGGUAGUGGCUUACCAAGGCUUUGACGGGUAGCCGGCCUGAGAGGGUGACCGGCCACAUUGGGACUGAGAUACGGCCCAGACUCCUACGGGAGGCAGCAGUGGGGAAUAUUGCACAAUGGGCGGAAGCCUGACGCAGCAACGCCGCGUGCGGGAUGACGGCCUUCGGGUUGUAAACCGCUUUCGCCUGUGACGAAGCGUGAGUGACGGUAAUGGGUAAAGAAGCACCGGCUAACUACGUG
Molecule: ribosomal RNA, 468 nt
Filed under: uncultured bacterium
Lineage: Bacteria
Description: partial 16S ribosomal RNA
Rfam family: Bacterial small subunit ribosomal RNA
Source: RNAcentral